RNAcentral lists this ribosomal RNA (450 nucleotides) under uncultured bacterium. Its description in RNAcentral is "partial 16S ribosomal RNA". It matches the Rfam family "Bacterial small subunit ribosomal RNA", at positions 354 to 796 of the family's 1533-position model. The record is from RNAcentral.
GUGGGGAAUCUUCCGCAAUGGACGAAAGUCUGACGGAGCAACGCCGCGUGAGUGAAGAAGGUUUUCGGAUCGUAAAGCUCUUUCGUUAGGGACGAACGUGCUCUUUGUGAAUAAUGAGGAGUAAUGACGGUACCUAAAUAAGAAGCCACGGCUAACUACGUGCCAGCAGCCGCGGUAAUACGUAGGUGGCAAGCGUUGUCCGGAAUUAUUGGGCGUAAAGCGCGCGCAGGCGGGAUAUCAAGUCUGUCUUAAAAGUGCGAGGCUCAACCUCGUGAGGGAACAGAAACUGGUAAUCUUGAGUGUCGGAGAGGAAAGUGGAAUUCCAAGUGUAGCGGUGAAAUGCGUAGAGAUUUGGAAGAACACCAGUGGCGAAGGCGACUUUCUGGACGAUGUCUGACGCUGAGGCGCGAAAGCUAGGGGAGCGAACGGGAUUAGAAACCCCGGUAGUCC